AUUCCUUUGAAUCAAAGGAGUCCUUACUGUUGUUAGUGUGGUAUUGUCGGUUUUGAAUCAAAGGAGUCAUAAUAAUAGUACUAGCAUAUAUACUUUGCCCAUCUCCACCUCCACGACAGAAGCAUCACAGCUCCAUGAGCGCCAGUGACAGUGGUGGAGUAAACCAGUCCAAGAACAGCUGCUUAAUUAUCAUAUUACACCCUGCAUUGCCUCAUAAUAACCCCAGCCUAAACCAUCUCUCGCCGAUCCUCCCCACAGUAAUACCGCCAUAAUCCAAGGGGGCAAACCAAAAAGAAGCACCAAAAGCACAGACCCUCGCCGUCGCCGCCGGUGCCUACAGGCAGAAGCAGCCGCCGUUGUACUUGCCGCCCUUCAUCUGCUCGCCGACCUUCCUCACCGUCACCGACGACGGCGCGCACGGCGUCCACUCCGCCGCCAGCCGCACCCUCGCCAGCCACCACCACCCGCUCCCGCCCCCACGCUUCCUCCUCGCCGACGCCUGCGCGGCCGCGGCCUCGGCGGCGAGGCGGCGGUUCUCGGCGCGGAGGCGUUCGAUCUCGGCGACGCCGGCCUUGCGCUCGGCCUCCCAGGCGGCCAUGGCCUCGAAGCACUCCCGGUUGCGGAGCUCCAGCCCGUACACCUGCGCCUGCAGCGCCUCCACCUUCCGCCCGAGGAUGCACGCCCGGUGGUCGUCCCGCAGCUUCACGGCCAGCCGGGCCAGGUCGGCCGCGCGGCGGCGCGUGUAGCCGAGCUCGGCUGCGGCGGCCGCGGCCUCCUCCUCGGCGGCGGAGGCGCGGAAGGCCAGGCGCGCGUUCUCGCCCAGAAGGACCAGGCGCUCCGACUCGAGCACCUCCAGCAGGCUCCCCUGCAGGUCGAUCUUGCGCGCCGACUCGGCCCUCCGGCGGUCCGCCUCGUCCGCCAGCAGGUCCCGGUCCACCCACGCCAUCACCAGCUCCGCCACUACCAGGUCGCCGUCAACGGCCGGAGCAGCAACCGGAGUUGCGAAAUGAUCAUCGGUGACUCCGGCGUGGGGCUGGAAGGAGAGGGAGCUGCCGGCGUCCGAGGAGCGGUCAUCAACGUCGGAGGAGCAGUCGGAGCUGAGGUUGAGGUGGUGGGAGUGGAAGUGGGCAGACGACUUGGCGUUGGCGUUGGCGAGGAGGGACUGAGCGUAGCGGUCGGCGAGGUAGAGGUAGCGGUGGUGGAGGUCGGUGAGGAGCGCGAGCAGCUGCGGGCGGCGGUGGUAGU
RNAcentral lists this long non-coding RNA (1245 nucleotides) under Triticum aestivum (bread wheat). Its description in RNAcentral is "long non-coding RNA (TAES_LNC006528)". Lineage: Eukaryota; Viridiplantae; Streptophyta; Magnoliopsida; Poales; Poaceae. The record is from RNAcentral.